This 129-nucleotide microRNA precursor is filed under the name Myotis lucifugus (little brown bat). RNAcentral describes it as "mir-9193 microRNA precursor family". It matches the Rfam family "mir-9193 microRNA precursor family". The record is from Rfam by way of RNAcentral. Lineage: Eukaryota; Metazoa; Chordata; Mammalia; Chiroptera; Vespertilionidae.
CGUGCACUGGUGGGGUCCCUUGGCCUGGCCUGUGCUCUCUCACAAUCUGGGACCCCCUUAGGGGGAUAUCGGACUGCUGGUUUUUGUCCAAUCCCCGCAGGCCAGGCCAAGGGACCCCACUAGUGCACG